GCGCCCAUCGUCUAGCGGUCAGGACGCAGGCCUCUCAAGCCUGAAACACGGGUUCGAGUCCCGUUGGGCGCACCA
RNAcentral lists this transfer RNA (75 nucleotides) under Pseudomonadota bacterium. RNAcentral describes it as "tRNA-Glu". It matches the Rfam family "tRNA". From Rfam's summary of the family: Transfer RNA (tRNA) molecules are approximately 80 nucleotides in length. Their secondary structure includes four short double-helical elements and three loops (D, anti-codon, and T loops). Lineage: Bacteria; Pseudomonadati; Pseudomonadota. RNAcentral also lists the same sequence under 2 other names. The record is from RNAcentral.